AGAUUAAGUUAUUAAGGGCGCACGGUGGAUGCCUUGGCACUAGAAGCCGAAGAAGGACGUUACUAACGACGAUAUGCUUUGGGUAGCUGUAAGUAAGCGUUGAUCCAGAGAUUUCCGAAUGGGGGAACCCAACAUGAGUGAUGUCAUGUUAUCGACAUGUGAAUUCAUAGCAUGUCAGAAGGCAGACCCGGAGAACUGAAACAUCUUAGUACCCGGAGGAAGAGAAAGAAAAAUCGAUUCCCUGAGUAGCGGCGAGCGAAACGGGAAGAGCCCAAACCAACAAGCUUGCUUGUUGGGGUUGUAGGACACUCUAUACGGAGUUACAAAAGAACAUGUUAGACGAAUCAUCUGGAAAGAUGAAUCAAAGAAGGUAAAAAUCCUGUAGUCGAAAACAUAUUCUCUCUUGAGUGGAUCCUGAGUACGACGGAGCACGUGAAAUUCCGUCGGAAUCUAGGAGGACCAUCUCCUAAGGCUAAAUACUCUCUAGUGACCGAUAGUGAACCAGUACCGUGAGGGAAAGGUGAAAAGUACCCCGGAAGGGGAGUGAAAGAGAACUUGAAACCGUGUGCUUACAAGUAGUCAGAGCCCGUUAAUGGGUGAUGGCGUGCCUUUUGUAGAAUGAACCGGCGAGUUACGAUCUGAUGCAAGGUUAAGCAGCGAAUGUGGAGCCGUAGCGAAAGCGAGUCUGAAUAGGGCGUUGAGUAUUUGGUCGUAGACCCGAAACCAGGUGAUCUACCCUUGGUCAGGUUGAAGUUCAGGUAACACUGAAUGGAGGACCGAACCGACUUACGUUGAAAAGUGAGCGGAUGAACUGAGGGUAGCGGAGAAAUUCCAAUCGAACUUGGAGAUAGCUGGUUCUCUCCGAAAUAGCUUUAGGGCUAGCCUCAAGUGAUGAUUAUUGGAGGUAGAGCACUGUUUGGACGAGGGGCCCCUCUCGGGUUACCGAAUUCAGACAAACUCCGAAUGCCAAUCAAUUUAACUUGGGAGUCAGAACAUGGGUGAUAAGGUCCGUGUUCGAAAGGGAAACAGCCCAGACCACCAGCUAAGGUCCCAAAAUAUAUGUUAAGUGGAAAAGGAUGUGGCGUUGCCCAGACAACUAGGAUGUUGGCUUAGAAGCAGCCAUCAUUUAAAGAGUGCGUAAUAGCUCACUAGUCGAGUGACACUGCGCCGAAAAUGUACCGGGGCUAAACAUAUUACCG
This 1199-nucleotide ribosomal RNA is filed under the name Staphylococcus aureus. Its description in RNAcentral is "bacterial LSU rRNA". It matches the Rfam family "Bacterial large subunit ribosomal RNA", at positions 1 to 1196 of the family's 2925-position model. The record is from RNAcentral. Lineage: Bacteria; Bacillati; Bacillota; Bacilli; Caryophanales; Staphylococcaceae.